GCCAGCGUGGCCCAGUGGUUUGAGCAUUGGACUAGGGCUCUGGAGACCAGGGUUCGAAUCCUCGCUCAGCCA
Molecule: non-coding RNA, 72 nt
Organism: Phrynosoma platyrhinos (Desert horned lizard)
Lineage: Eukaryota; Metazoa; Chordata; Lepidosauria; Squamata; Phrynosomatidae
Source: the annotation of a GenBank genome assembly